Molecule: ribosomal RNA, 2902 nt
Filed under: Escherichia coli KTE35
Lineage: Bacteria; Pseudomonadati; Pseudomonadota; Gammaproteobacteria; Enterobacterales; Enterobacteriaceae
Description: bacterial LSU rRNA
Rfam family: Bacterial large subunit ribosomal RNA
Source: RNAcentral
UUAAGCGACUAAGCGUACACGGUGGAUGCCCUGGCAGUCAGAGGCGAUGAAGGACGUGCUAAUCUGCGAUAAGCGUCGGUAAGGUGAUAUGAACCGUUAUAACCGGCGAUUUCCGAAUGGGGAAACCCAGUGUGUUUCGACACACUAUCAUUAACUGAAUCCAUAGGUUAAUGAGGCGAACCGGGGGAACUGAAACAUCUAAGUACCCCGAGGAAAAGAAAUCAACCGAGAUUCCCCCAGUAGCGGCGAGCGAACGGGGAGCAGCCCAGAGCCUGAAUCAGUGUGUGUGUUAGUGGAAGCGUCUGGAAAGGCGUGCGAUACAGGGUGACAGCCCCGUACACAAAAAUGCACAUGCUGUGAGCUCGAUGAGUAGGGCGGGACACGUGGUAUCCUGUCUGAAUAUGGGGGGACCAUCCUCCAAGGCUAAAUACUCCUGACUGACCGAUAGUGAACCAGUACCGUGAGGGAAAGGCGAAAAGAACCCCGGCGAGGGGAGUGAAAAAGAACCUGAAACCGUGUACGUACAAGCAGUGGGAGCACGCUUAGGCGUGUGACUGCGUACCUUUUGUAUAAUGGGUCAGCGACUUAUAUUCUGUAGCAAGGUUAACCGAAUAGGGGAGCCGAAGGGAAACCGAGUCUUAACUGGGCGUUAAGUUGCAGGGUAUAGACCCGAAACCCGGUGAUCUAGCCAUGGGCAGGUUGAAGGUUGGGUAACACUAACUGGAGGACCGAACCGACUAAUGUUGAAAAAUUAGCGGAUGACUUGUGGCUGGGGGGGAAAGGCCAAUCAAACCGGGAGAUAGCUGGUUCUCCCCGAAAGCUAUUUAGGUAGCGCCUCGUGAAUUCAUCUCCGGGGGUAGAGCACUGUUUCGGCAAGGGGGUCAUCCCGACUUACCAACCCGAUGCAAACUGCGAAUACCGGAGAAUGUUAUCACGGGAGGCACACGGCGGGUGCUAACGUCCGUCGUGAAGAGGGAAACAACCCAGACCGCCAGCUAAGGUCCCAAAGUCAUGGUUAAGUGGGAAACGAUGUGGGAAGGCCCAGACAGCCAGGAUGUUGGCUUAGAAGCAGCCAUCAUUUAAAGAAAGCGUAAUAGCUCACUGGUCGAGUCGGCCUGCGCGGAAGAUGUAACGGGGCUAAACCAUGCACCGAAGCUGCGGCAGCGACGCUGAUGCGUUGUUGGGUAGGGGAGCGUUCUGUAAGCCUGCGAAGGUGUACUGUGAGGCAUGCUGGAGGUAUCAGAAGUGCGAAUGCUGACAUAAGUAACGAUAAAGCGGGUGAAAAGCCCGCUCGCCGGAAGACCAAGGGUUCCUGUCCAACGUUAAUCGGGGCAGGGUGAGUCGACCCCUAAGGCGAGGCCGAAAGGCGUAGUCGAUGGGAAACAGGUUAAUAUUCCUGUACUUGGUGUUACUGCGAAGGGGGGACGGAGAAGGCUAUGUUGGCCGGGCGACGGUUGUCCCGGUUUAAGCGUGUAGGCUGGUUUUCCAGGCAAAUCCGGAAAAUCAAGGCUGAGGCGUGAUGACGAGGCACUACGGUGCUGAAGCAACAAAUGCCCUGCUUCCAGGAAAAGCCUCUAAGCAUCAGGUAACAUCAAAUCGUACCCCAAACCGACACAGGUGGUCAGGUAGAGAAUACCAAGGCGCUUGAGAGAACUCGGGUGAAGGAACUAGGCAAAAUGGUGCCGUAACUUCGGGAGAAGGCACGCUGAUAUGUAGGUGAAGUCCCUUGCGGAUGGAGCUGAAAUCAGUCGAAGAUACCAGCUGGCUGCAACUGUUUAUUAAAAACACAGCACUGUGCAAACACGAAAGUGGACGUAUACGGUGUGACGCCUGCCCGGUGCCGGAAGGUUAAUUGAUGGGGUCAGCGCAAGCGAAGCUCUUGAUCGAAGCCCCGGUAAACGGCGGCCGUAACUAUAACGGUCCUAAGGUAGCGAAAUUCCUUGUCGGGUAAGUUCCGACCUGCACGAAUGGCGUAAUGAUGGCCAGGCUGUCUCCACCCGAGACUCAGUGAAAUUGAACUCGCUGUGAAGAUGCAGUGUACCCGCGGCAAGACGGAAAGACCCCGUGAACCUUUACUAUAGCUUGACACUGAACAUUGAGCCUUGAUGUGUAGGAUAGGUGGGAGGCUUUGAAGUGUGGACGCCAGUCUGCAUGGAGCCGACCUUGAAAUACCACCCUUUAAUGUUUGAUGUUCUAACGUUGACCCGUAAUCCGGGUUGCGGACAGUGUCUGGUGGGUAGUUUGACUGGGGCGGUCUCCUCCUAAAGAGUAACGGAGGAGCACGAAGGUUGGCUAAUCCUGGUCGGACAUCAGGAGGUUAGUGCAAUGGCAUAAGCCAGCUUGACUGCGAGCGUGACGGCGCGAGCAGGUGCGAAAGCAGGUCAUAGUGAUCCGGUGGUUCUGAAUGGAAGGGCCAUCGCUCAACGGAUAAAAGGUACUCCGGGGAUAACAGGCUGAUACCGCCCAAGAGUUCAUAUCGACGGCGGUGUUUGGCACCUCGAUGUCGGCUCAUCACAUCCUGGGGCUGAAGUAGGUCCCAAGGGUAUGGCUGUUCGCCAUUUAAAGUGGUACGCGAGCUGGGUUUAGAACGUCGUGAGACAGUUCGGUCCCUAUCUGCCGUGGGCGCUGGAGAACUGAGGGGGGCUGCUCCUAGUACGAGAGGACCGGAGUGGACGCAUCACUGGUGUUCGGGUUGUCAUGCCAAUGGCACUGCCCGGUAGCUAAAUGCGGAAGAGAUAAGUGCUGAAAGCAUCUAAGCACGAAACUUGCCCCGAGAUGAGUUCUCCCUGACCCUUUAAGGGUCCUGAAGGAACGUUGAAGACGACGACGUUGAUAGGCCGGGUGUGUAAGCGCAGCGAUGCGUUGAGCUAACCGGUACUAAUGAACCGUGAGGCUUAACCUU